This 652-nucleotide unclassified non-coding RNA is filed under the name Hevea brasiliensis (rubber tree). The record is from RNAcentral. Lineage: Eukaryota; Viridiplantae; Streptophyta; Magnoliopsida; Malpighiales; Euphorbiaceae.
ACAACUUGCACCAGUUGUUAUUAGAACUCUCUAUGGCAGUCUGAACGGCUUCUUUUCAGUGUCCCAAUUUCAUAAAUCUCAUAAACAAUCACCGUAAACAAUCCAUAACCCUUUCAAGCAUUUCAUCGAAUAUCAUAUUCGCAUCUGCAUACGCAAAAAUUAUCCUAUUAUAUAUUAUAAUUGACAAAAUCAUUUAAUUAACAACUACCUUUUAUAAAGUAAGUUGGAAUUUUCAGCUUUAAUUAAACCCCAUUUUAUUUAUAGUCAACGCAAAGCCUCAUGCCCUAGUGGCCCAGCCCCUGUGAUCCCGAUCUCAACCAUGGCAGCAGUAGCACCCACAGUUUCUCAGCUGUCGUGCUUCUCUUCAAUCAACCGCAACCUGCAGCUCUAUCGUCAAUCAUCUCCUCUUUCUACUAGAUCCAAGUUAUGGAUUGCUAUGAGCCUUGAAGGAGCACGAGGUACCGAAAAUUCUAGUUCAGAGAUCAAAACUAGGCUUAGUUAUACAGCUGAUGAAUCGAAACCAUACGUGGAAGGGCCAGCAGAACCUCAUGGUUUAGAAGAAAAAGGAAUUACAGAUCCAGGAAAGGCAUAUGGCGCAGCAAAAAUCCACGACUUCUGUUUUGGGAUCCCUUAUGGUGGUCUUGUUCUAAGU